Coturnix japonica (Japanese quail) is the source of this 4530-nucleotide non-coding RNA. NCBI's taxonomy places the organism in Eukaryota, Metazoa, Chordata, Aves, Galliformes, Phasianidae. The record is from RefSeq and is a predicted model, not a curated record.
GAGCAGAGGGGCAAGGGGUGGGUGGUGGGGGAAUGACCGUAAUGUCUGUGGGUUGCAGGUACAGGUGGCUGCGAGUGUGAAGGUUGUCAUGGAAGGGCUUCGGAGAGAAAACUAGAAAAGGCCGAAACCCGGCUAGAACUGAACUUGGGAGCUGGAAGAUGUGGUUCCCAAGCAACUCUCCAUCAUUCUUCAGCAGUCCUGGCUAACUGAUGUUGUCUUGGUGGACUGGAGCCUGGCAAACACAUCCUCAGAAAGGGCUGGAAAGAUGAUCCUGGUAGCUACAAACCUAGUCUCACCCUGGUGCUGGGGAAGGUUAUGGAAUGGAUAAUCUUGGGAGCCAUCGUGGACCCAAUAAAGGUAAACCAGGGAUCAGGCCCAGUCAACAUGGGUUUACAUAUGGUAGAUCCUGUCUGACAAACCUGAUUCCAUUCUCUGACAAGGUGAUCUGCUUAGUGGAUGAAGUCAAGGCUAUCGAUGUGGUCUACCUGGACUUCAAUAAAGCAUUUGACACGCUCCCCCCCAGCAUCCUUGUGGAGAAGCUGGAUGCCCACAGUUUGGAUGGGUGUAUGCUCCACUGGGUGAAACACUGGCUGGAUGGCAGGGCCCAAAGAGUUGUGGUCAAUGAAGUUAAAUCCAGCUGGUGGCUGGUCACAUAAAGGAGCUGCGUUGUCACAACGAUGUCAUGCCACCAUGACACUUCGUUGUGAUGUAUUUGGCUUAUGGCAGCUGUGUGAGCAGAGUCAGAGUGCAAUGUGGCUUCCCUGGCCUACUUCAGGUCUCUCUGGUUCUGCCUGUGAUGCCAAGGGCUGGUGAAUAUCAGUUGUCACCUGGCUCCGGCUCUGGCUCAUGUGGGCAUUGUCAGUCCAGAUUUCCAUGUGGGUGGUGGUGGCAUGAAUUUGUCUUCUGGUUGACUGGGCUCUUAAAUUCAGAGACAAAUGUUGCCUUAAGUCCAAAAACAUGUACAGAAACAUUACAUCUUGAGUUGAAAAGGAUAAAAGAACUUGUAAUAUAUUCCAGAGAUGCGAUACAAGAAAAUGCUUGUGCUAUGAUGAGCUGAGUUUACCCUUUGGCCAGCACAACACAGGCCUGAAGGCUGUACUGAACACAUACUACAGCACAGAUCUGCACUUAUUGAAGCCUACUGUUGUAUGAGUCACCAGCUCAUCUGUAUACAGUAGUGUCCUGGCCUGGAUCACUGCAUUCCGCACUUUGAUCCACAUAUCCACAUUUCCCAAAGAUGCUGUAAGUUACAGACUGUAUUAAUAACAUUCAGGCUUCUUCAACCCAAAGUAUAAGGCCUAGUGGACAUAGUCUAAGUGAUGAACUCUUGUGAAGCACCAAAAAAAUUUCUCUGGGCAUGUUUCAUCUCUGUGUUAUUCCUCAAUAUCUUAGUUUCAGUUUGGAUGGAAUUGUUUUUUUCAAUUUCUGGUAUGAUGCUAUCUAUGUUUUGGUUCUAGGAGAAAAACAAUGUUGAUAACAUACCAAUGUUUAUAGUUUCUCCUAAGCACUGUUAUAUGGAGCCAAGGCCAUUCUCAGCAAAGGGCUCAAGGAGGUGGAACAGAAUUAGAACAGCUCUGUUAAACCAUCCAGAGGAUAUUCCAUACCAUAUGACAUCAAGAGGGAGGAGUUCUGAAGGGGGUGGGAGUUCAUCUCUCUUCCACUGCUUGGGGGCUAGAUGGGCAUUGGUUGGGGAGUAGUGAGAAACUGCUUGUGCAUCACUUGUCACAUAUGUUUCUGUCUAUAUUCAUUUGUCAUAAUUGUUAUCAUUUUCUUUUUCUCUAUCUUAGUAAAUAGCUUUAUCUCCACCUGUGAGUUCUACUUUAUUUUUUUUCUUCCAAUUAUUUUUCCCACCUCAGUGGGAGGUAGAGGAUUGAGUGAACAACUGUGUGAUGCUCAGCCAUCUGCCCUGUUAAACCACAGCAGUCAUUUUGGCACCCAGCGUGGGGCCUGGAGGGAUUGGAGUAACCACAGAAUUGAUUGUGUCAUGGCACCUGCAAAGCCAUCUGUCAAAAAAAGUCAGAACAAAUACAGGGCUUUGCACAGGAGUUGGAGCAGCCACAGUGCUCCAAGUAGGGAGUGGAGCAGCCACAGGGCUGUACCUCUGGGCAUAUAGCAUCUCCCUGUGGAGGAAUUUUCUUGCUUUUUCUCAUCACAAUACAUGAAACAGACACAGGACCCGUAAAAGGAGCACCUGCCUGGCUCAACAUGGAGGUUGGAGUCACAGAAAGUCCCAGCCUUUUUGGAAGAUAUGAUGUACAUAUUCAAAAGAAUGUUCAGAUGGGUAACAUAACAUAUUUUCUGUUUGCUGUACAUCCAACAGUGUAGCUAUGACCAGGUGAGCUGCUAUUAAACCAUCAAUAAACUUAGUAUCCUUGAGAUCCUGAGUACCUCUGGAUCAUCAUUUCCUGGAUGGAGCUGAGGGUACAUAGUUGCUCACAGUAAUCAGCAAUUUCUCUGGUACAAAGAAGGCUCUACAUUCAGGGAAGGAGCAGACACAGCAGGAGUCCCACAGUGGCUGGGCAGGAAGGCUGAUGAGGGUGGCCAGGGUCAGCCACAGCUAUCCCCAGUGAUGUGCUGAGUCUGGAUGCAGGCAAAAGUCAAUCCUGCAUAUCUUAAGAUCUAACCAGGAAUGGGGAAGGAUGCAUUGUAGCUCAGUGAGGCUUAGCAUGUGGGUUGUGCUGGCAUGCAGCUCCUGAACCUGUGCCAGGGAGCUUGGGGACGUGUUCAGAUCCUCAGGAGAGGGGAAAGGCCCUGAUGCCUGCUGCAUGUUGCAUGAGGAAAUUUUCUUUCUACUCCUUCAGUAUUUCUGUCAUUUCUCUUACAUUUGAGUGACACCACUAAGUCAUUUAUCUGUCUGAGCGAUCUCCUGUUACUUACACAUUUACUGGUUUAUUAAUCUGACUUUGGAUUUGAUCACAUGAGAAUGAAAACUGUAAGAAGAUUUUGACUAGUAAGACAUGACUGUGGCUAAUAUAAAGGGAUCUGAAGAAGCUUUUAAUAUUGCGUGGGUUCGUUUUAAGUAUUUCCUUUCUGUAUUUUGUGGUCUGUUACUCUUGAAAAGUUCUCAUUUGGUUCCAGUGCUCCUGUCUGUAAAGCUGCCAUCGGCUUUGGGAAUUAUGUGGAAUUUCCGAAGAGUUUGGCCAUGAGCAAAUGUGCUUGUCGUCUUGUAAGAAACAUUUAAAAUAUCCUAAUACCAAAUUGAUUUUUGAACAAAACUUGCACAGUCUAUCCCAAAAUUAACUUAGAUAAUUGUUUUCAAUACCUUAUAAAAAUUGCUGAUUACAUGAAGCAUUUAGAAAGAUCUUCAGCUUCUGUAAACAAAAGUAGUUCUGCUGAGGUCUGUUUAACAUCUGUAUCCUUUCCUGUAACCUUAGAAAUGCAUUUGCAUAUUUCAGAGAUCUCGGGGCUUGAAGUGCAUAAUAACACAGGUGCACGUGGGAAUUGCCAUGCUAGGUGUUCCUUCUCUAUGGCCAAAAGCUUGAAUAAAGUAGUGGACAGGAUCUAAUUUUACUCAUAGCACCACUUCCUGACAUUCUGAAUAUGAGAUCAAAGACACAUUAUGGUUCAAAACUAACAUGAGAAGUAAUUUUUAAUGUUAAACUUUGGGCCACUGUUCAGAUGCUAAUUGCAAUAUUUUUUUUAUCCAAUUUCAGAGGUGGGAAACUCAAUGAAAGGAGGGAAAAAAGCUACAUAUAGCAUUACAACAAAACUACAGUAAAAUACAGUGGAGACAGCAACCUGGGAUCUGUGUAUCACAGCGCGCAUCACACAGUAUGUGCGAAGAUGUCUGAAUAUGGAGUCUGGUGCCUACUGGGAAGCCUGUAGCCACAGAAGGAAAAAUCUGCAGAGAUUCAGAAGGGACCUUCCUUCAUCAUAAACAUGAGCAGGAGCGCAGAAAUCUAGACUUGGUGGAGACUACAGUUCUUCUGCAUGCCCGACAUGGUCUCUUUUGCAGUAUGUAGACUUGGUGCUGCUAGACAAUUGUUCAUUUACCAGAAAUUAUUAAAUCAGGAGUAAAGAAAACAAAUCCUGUCUUCACAGCCUUCUGAAUAAAACACAGCAAAUAAAUGUGUAUGUGCAGGUAUAUAUUUUGUAAAACUGUGUUAUCAUGGAUUUAGCUUGUAAGUUAAUAACCAUCUUGGGAUAAAAUCCUUUCUGAACACCUUCAUGAUUGGAAGUGGUUCUUCCUUUCCUUUCAUGGAUCCUGAAAAGUGAAUGUACAUUCAGGAUCAGGCCCUCUGUGGCAUUUCUUCAAAGCUACUGCUGUGUCACUUGUGUAAUUAUGAAAAGGAAGUAAUGAGUCUGAAUAGACACAAAGCUUAUAUAAAGUAAUAAGGAUUUCCAGAAGAAACUUGGGAAGGAUAAUUCAAAUCUUCUCAAAAGAAGAAAGGCAAGGAGAUGGAGAGAAAAUAGAAAUAUUCCAACUGAAGUGGUGAGUUUCUUUUUUUUUUUUCUUUUUUAACUGUGUUGAUUGCUUGUCUUGAUCCUACUGUGCCAAACUAAAGUGUGAUGACUCAAACACAGAAUUUU